This 983-nucleotide long non-coding RNA is filed under the name Callithrix jacchus (white-tufted-ear marmoset). RNAcentral's name for it is "lncRNA (ENSCJAG00000074961.1)". Lineage: Eukaryota; Metazoa; Chordata; Mammalia; Primates; Cebidae. The record is from RNAcentral.
CUCAGUUCCUUGUCAGAAGGUUAGCAGCCUGUUGCCAAUAAUGCAGGGGAUAAAAGAAAAGCUCAAACUUCUGUGCUUGAUGUCAAAGACUUGGAUUUAAUGGGAAGAGUUACUUUUUCCUUGGCUUAAAGGAAGAAGACACAAGGUAUGAAUGUAUAUUUCAGACGGUGAGAUGUGCAAGUACAAAUGCAUGCAUGUGUGUGGUCAAGAGAAGGUGGUCCUUUUUAAAAAAUUUUUUUGUGAAACAUAGUCUUGUUCUGUCACGCAGCUCAGAGUGCAAUGGCGCAAUCUCAGGUCACUGCAACCUCCAUCUCCCGGGUUCAAGCGAUUCUUCUGCCUCAGCCUCCCAGAUAUUUUUCAGACCUCACAUUCUGAUGCACCAGCUUCUCCUGGCCCCAGACCAGUUGAGUAAUCUGGCUCAACCAGUUCUUCAAUCCCCCCCAGGGACAGAAGGCCACAUGAAGAACCUGCUUCAACUCCCUGUGAUUUAAUCUCCAGUCCAAGUAAUCAGCAUUCCCCACUCCCUAACCUUCUGCCCACCAAAUUAUCCUUAAAAUACCCUAGUCGCUGAAUCUUUUUCGGGUAAACUGAUUUGAGUAGCAAAAUUCUGGUCUCCUAUUUAGCCAGCUCUGUGUGCAUUAAACAUUUUCUCUGUUGCAAUUUCCCUGUCUUGAUAUCGGCUCUAUCUGGGCAGCAGGCAAGAAGAAAUCACUGGGCAGUUACAUAAAACCCUAGCUUUCAUAUGACUGAAAGUCUGCAGAAUACCAAAGAUAACUGAAUGUAAUUUUUAUUGCAUACAUCUGGGUGUUUUGUUAAUCAGCUAGCAAAGUUUAAAUGAGUAAUAAAGACAGGUAUAACUAAUAAAUUAUUAUACUUAUCCCCACCUCCAAUUUUUUGCUUAAUUUAUUUCAGCCAAAACGGUAACAUUGCUGUUAUAAUCAAGGUUUUUCCAAAUAAUUUGGUAUUAUUAACAGUAACUAUCU